CGUCCCAGGAGAAUACAUGGGUC
This 23-nucleotide non-coding RNA is filed under the name Arabidopsis thaliana (thale cress). Lineage: Eukaryota; Viridiplantae; Streptophyta; Magnoliopsida; Brassicales; Brassicaceae. The record is from RNAcentral.